Molecule: long non-coding RNA, 1599 nt
Filed under: Apteryx haastii (Great spotted kiwi)
Lineage: Eukaryota; Metazoa; Chordata; Aves; Apterygiformes; Apterygidae
Description: lncRNA (ENSAHAG00000009251.1)
Source: RNAcentral
GCCCCACACACCUUCCCAGUUUGYCAAAGGAAGGUUUAAGGGCACGACUCAAGCCGGAGUUUCCCAUGGAGCACUCGAGAGCAUGGAUGCAUCCUUUCAGCCAAGCCUCUUAUAAACACCCAUCCACAGCAGAGGUCAAACUAAAACGAUGUCCAGCUGGCAAGGAAAGCUUUCCACACCUCAGAAACCCUGCUCCUAGAGAAGGUGUGCUUCUAAAGGCACUGAAACGCCAAGRCCUCGUGGAUGACCUCACCACCGACAAUGCAAUGGUCACCCAGRUGGCGGAGGACACUGUCCAAGAUGUUCUGGCGAGGGCAGAAUGUCUGGGAGCCUCCAUCUGCAUUAUAAAGAAGGCUCCUCUGGAGCGCAGGGAGAAACUGUCCUGAAGGGUUUUUACAAUAGCACGGUCCCCUCAGGAAUUCCAGGCAGAGCCUCUGAGAAACAGGGGGCUAGUUGCAGAAGAGAUUCCAUCUCUUGGUUUGGCAGUGGGAGAACAAAAGCCCUCUCAUCUUGCUUCAACUUCCCUUCAACUAUGCAGGAGGGAUGUUUGUGCCCUGAGUGGGGGAACUGAAGAACGUGUCUGCUCCACGCCUGCAGUCAGGCCUCGGUCUUCCAGGCAAGCGCUGGGAAAACCAUGGCUGUUGCAAGGACCCGUAAAGAGGAGAACUCUUCYCCCAAUUAACCAGCAGCUUUCCGGGCAAUCCUGCUCCUCCCCAGGAGCCCAGAGGGUGCCUAAAGGGGAGAACCAAGGCGGGCCAGCAUAUGAGGAGCAGGGCAAACCCUGGGCAAYCUGCCCAACACUGCCAAGGCUGCAACAGGUGCCAGCUGGGGUUGAUUUGGGUGAGCUUUUUGAGGAAACAUGCAAUGAGCUAAGGAGCAGGUUGCUGCCAGCUUCCAAAGACACCUGCGCCCAGCGGGCCAAGGCACAGCCCUUGGACACAGCAGCACACGGCAAUGACUCUCUGCUAAGUGACUUCUCAGCAUGCCAAAGAAGAGAGCAGCAUCCUCCUGAACGGCAAGUGUCCCCCGCUGAGAAAUUCAGAAGCAGCAUCAUGACGGAGCUGUCUCGAGGGCAAGGUCCAGCUCCCCUGUGUGAGGAGUGCUUGGGUGCAGACAGUGAUGUUCUUCCUCAGAGCAUGGUGCAGUCGGUGUGUGCACAGCUGCUGGCGCAGUUUGGGCCGCAGAUGAGAGAGCAGCUGUGCUUGCAAAGUGUGUGCAGAGCUCUGUGCGAGGCUGCAGCCAGGCUGGUGCUGAGGGGGAUCUCUGGGGCCUGGCUCCAGGCCUGCACCCCUGCAGAAGCAUCACUCCAGCCGCCUGGUGCAGAUGACAGCACAGUGGAGGAAACACACCAGGACCUUGCAGAGCCCUGCAGCCACUCCAAGCCUUCACUGCCCGACACCAGCAACCUCUCCCUCUCCUCCCUGCUCAUCAAAACACUUUCAGAGAAACUUGUGUCCCUUUUUCCCACCAGCGACUUCAAUGCUGAGAAUGUUUCCUUGGUGAGGGACAUAAUAGGAAAACUAUUGCCAACNNNNNNNNNNNNNNNNNNNNNNNNNNNNNNNNNNNNNNNNNNNNNNNNNNNNNNNNNNNNNNNNNNNN